ACGAAGGGUGCAAGCGUUAAUCGGAAUUACUGGGCGUAAAGGGUGCGUAGGCGGUUCGUUAAGUCUGUCGUGAAAUCCCCGGGCUCAACCUGGGAAUGGCGAUGGAUACUGGCGAGCUAGAGUGUGUCAGAGGAUGGUGGAAUUCCCGGUGUAGCGGUGAAAUGCGUAGAUAUCGGGAGGAAUACCGAUGGCGAAGGCAGGUCUCUGGGCUGACACUGACGCUCAUGCACGAAAGCGUGGGGAGCAAACAGGA
This 253-nucleotide ribosomal RNA is filed under the name uncultured prokaryote. RNAcentral describes it as "partial 16S ribosomal RNA". It matches the Rfam family "Bacterial small subunit ribosomal RNA", at positions 525 to 777 of the family's 1533-position model. The record is from RNAcentral.